RNAcentral lists this transfer RNA (66 nucleotides) under Parborlasia corrugatus (corrugated ribbon worm). RNAcentral describes it as "tRNA-Glu". The record is from RNAcentral. Lineage: Eukaryota; Metazoa; Nemertea; Pilidiophora; Heteronemertea; Lineidae.
UUAUUUGUAGUGUAAAAAUAUCACGUUAGUUUUUCGUUCUAAAGAUACAAAAUUUUGUCAAGUAAC